AACGAACGCUGGCGGCAUGCCUAACACAUGCAAGUCGAACGAGACCUUCGGGUCUAGUGGCGCACGGGUGCGUAACGCGUGGGAACCUGCCCUUAGGUUCGGAAUAACUCCCCGAAAGGGGUGCUAAUACCGGAUAAUGUCUUCGGACCAAAGAUUUAUCGCCUUUGGAUGGGCCCGCGUUGGAUUAGCUAGUUGGUAGGGUAAAAGCCUACCAAGGCGACGAUCCAUAGCUGGUCUGUGAGGAUGAUCAGCCACACUGAGACUGAGACACGGCCCAGACUCCUACGGGAGGCAGCAGUGGGGAAUAUUGGACAAUGGGCGAAAGCCUGAUCCAGCAAUGCCGCGUGAGUGAUGAAGGCCUUAGGGUUGUAAAGCUCUUUUACCCGGGAUGAUAAUGACAGUACCGAGAGAAUAAGCUCCGGCUAACUCCGUG
This 433-nucleotide ribosomal RNA is filed under the name uncultured bacterium. RNAcentral's name for it is "partial 16S ribosomal RNA". It matches the Rfam family "Bacterial small subunit ribosomal RNA", at positions 29 to 507 of the family's 1533-position model. The record is from RNAcentral.